GACGAACGCUGGCGGCGUGCUUAACACAUGCAAGUCGAACGGAAAGGCCCUGCUUUUGUGGGGUGCUCGAGUGGCGAACGGGUGAGUAACACGUGAGUAACCUGCCCUUGACUUUGGGAUAACUUCAGGAACUUGGGGUAAUAACCGGUAGGAGCUUCUGGUGCCUGGUGGGGGUUGGGAAAUUUCGGCGGUUGGGGAUGGACUCGCGGCUUAUCAGCUUGUUGGUGGGGGAGUGGCUUACCAAGGCUUUGACGGGUAGCCGGCCUGAGAGGGUGACCGGCCACAUUGGGACUGAGAUACGGCCCAGACUCCUACGGGAGGCAGCAGUGGGGAAUAUUGCACAAUGGGCGGAAGCCUGAUGCAGCAACGCCGCGUGCGGGAUGACGGCCUUCGGGUUGUAAACCGCUUUCGCCUGUGACGAAGCGUGAGUGACGGUAAUGGGUAAAGAAGCACCGGCUAACUACGUG
RNAcentral lists this ribosomal RNA (467 nucleotides) under uncultured bacterium. RNAcentral's name for it is "partial 16S ribosomal RNA". It matches the Rfam family "Bacterial small subunit ribosomal RNA", at positions 28 to 507 of the family's 1533-position model. The record is from RNAcentral.